RNAcentral lists this transfer RNA (87 nucleotides) under Gammaproteobacteria bacterium. RNAcentral describes it as "tRNA-Leu". It matches the Rfam family "tRNA". From Rfam's summary of the family: Transfer RNA (tRNA) molecules are approximately 80 nucleotides in length. Their secondary structure includes four short double-helical elements and three loops (D, anti-codon, and T loops). Further hydrogen bonds mediate the characteristic L-shaped molecular structure. tRNAs have two regions of fundamental functional importance: the anti-codon, which is responsible for specific mRNA codon recognition, and the 3' end, to which the tRNAs corresponding amino acid is attached (by aminoacyl-tRNA synthetases). tRNAs cope with the degeneracy of the genetic code in two manners: having more than one tRNA (with a specific anti-codon) for a particular amino acid; and 'wobble' base-pairing, i.e. permitting non-standard base-pairing at the 3rd anti-codon position. The record is from RNAcentral. Lineage: Bacteria; Pseudomonadati; Pseudomonadota; Gammaproteobacteria.
GCCUGGGUGGCGAAAUUGGUAGACGCGCCAGACUCAAACUCUGGUAUGGGCNACCAUGUGUGGGUUCGAGUCCCACCCCAGGCACCA